This 253-nucleotide ribosomal RNA is filed under the name uncultured bacterium. Its description in RNAcentral is "partial 16S ribosomal RNA". It matches the Rfam family "Bacterial small subunit ribosomal RNA", at positions 524 to 776 of the family's 1533-position model. The record is from RNAcentral.
GACGUAGGGCGCGAGCGUUGUCCGGAGUUAUUGGGCGUAAAGAGCUCGUAGGCGGCUUGUCGCGUCGACCGUGAAAACUUGGGGCUCAACCCCAAGCCUGCGGUCGAUACGGGCAGGCUCGAGUUCGGUAGGGGAGACUGGAAUUCCUGGUGUAGCGGUGAAAUGCGCAGAUAUCAGGAGGAACACCGGUGGCGAAGGCGGGUCUCUGGGCCGAUACUGACGCUGAGGAGCGAAAGCAUGGGGAGCGAACAGG